Molecule: long non-coding RNA, 908 nt
Filed under: Vitis vinifera (wine grape)
Lineage: Eukaryota; Viridiplantae; Streptophyta; Magnoliopsida; Vitales; Vitaceae
Description: long non-coding RNA (VVIN_LNC007961)
Source: RNAcentral
AUAAUAAUGCUUGACUCACAUCUUAAAGAACUUUGGAUUAACCAAGCAGCCUAAUGCACAUAGAAAUGAACACCAGCAUCACCCAGAAUAUUUAAGACUCGAAGAAGGCAAAGAUCAUUCUAACAAUACCCCAAGAAUCAAGCUCAAAAUGUCACAAACUGAAGAAUUCAAUCAUCUGCCACACACCGCCCAAACUAUUCUCUACUGUAUGAAGAAAACUAGAUUGUUCAAUACUUUCAUCAGUCCUACUAGUGGUCCCAUAAUUCAAAUAGAUCUCAACUUUCAAGUGAUAGAGACUUGUAUACACCAACUUCAACAAGUUGUCCCUGGGUUCUUGCGUGGAAAUUAAUAUUGAAUUUGCUUGUAAGUCAGUAACAAAUACUUAACAAACAAGCUAACCCCUGUCAUAGACACAUAAUCUGAAAACAGAAUGAACAAAUCAAAAUGGGCCAUAAGCAGAAAAUUUUUCUACCAAAAGAAUAAAUAGAUGCAAAGUUUGUUGAAAUUGCAGAUAAUUGGGGCUCGAAUUUGCUAAAAAUGGAAAUUUUUUCACCAAUAAAAAAGCCAUAUAUGCUCACUAUUUCUAAUGCUGCUCGGAAAACUUGUUGAAGCGAAAUGCUCGAAAAAACAGGGGAUAGUAUGGAAAAGUGAGAAUAUUUUUAACACUUAUCAUCAAACAAACAAUAGUCAAAAUUUUGCCCCUUUCUUUUUCAUCCAUUUUCUUAGCAACCAAACAAAAUUUAAACAUAUAUGCAUUCAUAUAAGAAAUGGCUAAAGUUAUAGACCUGUUGAACAAGGCUAUUGAUUUCGUUAGGCGUCAUAAGGUCAGAGAAGUCGAGAUCAACGACGAUGUUCUGGCCGUGUUCUUUGGCAUUGGUAAGUCUCUGGACCUUCUUCUCCCUCUNNNN